Molecule: small nucleolar RNA, 139 nt
Filed under: Sorghum bicolor (sorghum)
Lineage: Eukaryota; Viridiplantae; Streptophyta; Magnoliopsida; Poales; Poaceae
Description: Small nucleolar RNA Z247
Rfam family: Small nucleolar RNA Z247
About the family: Z247 is a member of the C/D class of snoRNA which contain the C (UGAUGA) and D (CUGA) box motifs.
Source: Rfam by way of RNAcentral
AAACUCGAGGAUGAGGAGCUAGUCUCCUAUAUCCUGUCUGGACUCGAUCAGGAGUAUGAUCCGAUCGUGUCUGCGGUGGCGGCACGCGUCGAACCGAUCUCUGUGAACGAGCUCUACGCUCAACUUGUCUCCUUCGAAC